AUGACCUCGACUUUGCUGCCUUCUCAUCAGUGGGCCCACCUCCUGCCGGAGCUCCUAGGACGGAUCAUCGCCCACCUCCCUCGCCCCGACGACCGUGCCCGCUUCCGCGCAGUGUGCCGUCCAUGGCACCUCGCCGUGCGCCAGCAUAAUUGUCCACAACUGCCGUGGAUCAUCUACUCGGAUGGCACCUUUGUCACCUUCCCCGAUCAUGGUAUUCACCAUGGCCUAUCCUUUCCCGAUAACACAAGCUUCAUCGGCGUCUAUCACAACUGGCUCGCCUUUUAUUGCACUGUCAGCAAGAAACGUACCUAUCUCUUGCAUAACCCCUUCACCAAAUCAACAUUGCCGCUCCCGGGCCUCGACUCUGUCAUCAACGACACCUCUCAUUGGUUUGAGGUUCGGAAGAUACUCAUGCGGUCGCCCAAAGAUGAUAUCGUCGUGGUGACAACCAACAAUAGUAAUUACCCGAUCAUCUUAUGUCGCCCUGGGAAACCCGGCGCAUGGUGGCCUGGACGGGGAGAGAUGCCUUAUGCAUCUAUGUUUGAUGUCGUGUUCCACGGAGACAACCUAUGUGGGGUCACUAAGCACAAUGAUCUUGUUGUGAUGGAUAUCGGUGAAUAUGACGACGGAACCCCCACCGUUAAAAGUGUAAAGUAUGUUAUCGAACACCCACCGGUUGAUCAGGAGGAGGCACACGAGUAUGAAAGUGAUGGAGAAGUGUCUAGCAAUGAUGGUGUAGAAGAAUUGGAGUACAACGAGGGAUCAAGCAUUGACGAGGAGGAUGAAGAGUUGGGCGAGGCAUCGCUUGCCAAUGACGACUCUGGCGGCGAUAAGGUAACAAGGAACAAAUUGGCGAACACAGACAACAAUUUCAACAAGGAUGACCAUCAAGAGGUGUCGAGCAACGAGGACGGAGAAGAGGUGGAUGAUUAUGAUGAAGGGUUACGUAUUUUAGAUGACCCCGAGCCUGACAACACGAUACUAAACUCCUUGGAGUACCAGGUUUCGGACGGCACCGAGCAAAUCGGUUAUGUACCCAGAGAAGCAACAGAUGGCAUCGUGGCCAGUCGACAUCUCUUUGAGUCAAAGGGCAAGGUACUUAUGGUAAGGCGGCAACAAUAUGUGCCCGUCCUCUCUCGUGGCUACAAUAUGAAGGUUGAGGUCCUCGAAGCGGAUGUCAAAGCUGGCGUAUGGAUUCUGUUGACUGCCGGUGUGUCGGGCACAUUCUUUGUGAGCAAGCAUUACUCAAAACAUGUCUCAACGUUUGAAGAUGCAGGGAUGAAACUGAACUGUCACUUUGAAGAUGAGCACGACGUGGGUGUCAAUUUGAAUUCUGAACUAUUUACUCCAUGGGAGGGCAAGCCGACGUGGUUCUUCCCGCAAGAGCUGGUUGUAUGA
RNAcentral lists this ribosomal RNA (1398 nucleotides) under Triticum aestivum (bread wheat). Its description in RNAcentral is "partial small subunit ribosomal RNA". The record is from RNAcentral. Lineage: Eukaryota; Viridiplantae; Streptophyta; Magnoliopsida; Poales; Poaceae.